RNAcentral lists this ribosomal RNA (201 nucleotides) under uncultured bacterium. Its description in RNAcentral is "partial 16S ribosomal RNA". It matches the Rfam family "Bacterial small subunit ribosomal RNA", at positions 524 to 725 of the family's 1533-position model. The record is from RNAcentral.
UACGAAGGGGCUAGCGUUGCUCGGAAUUACUGGGCGUAAAGCGCACGUAGGCGGCUUUCUAAGUCGGGGGUGAAAUCCUGGAGCUCAACUCCAGAACUGCCUUCGAUACUGGAGAGCUUGAGUCCGGGAGAGGUGAGUGGAACUGCGAGUGUAGAGGUGAAAUUCGUAGAUAUUCGGAAGAACACCAGUGGCGAAGGCGGC